This is a long non-coding RNA of Neopelma chrysocephalum (saffron-crested tyrant-manakin), 280 nucleotides long. RefSeq lists it as uncharacterized. NCBI's taxonomy places the organism in Eukaryota, Metazoa, Chordata, Aves, Passeriformes, Pipridae. The transcript is spliced from 2 exons. The record is from RefSeq and is a predicted model, not a curated record.
UCCCCCGGCCCCAGCCACUACGCCCCGGUGAGGAGCGACGUGUUCCUGCCGCGCUCCCCCCGCUGCACCAUCGUGGGGCGCACGGAACCCCCCAAGGCCGCCGCCACCCCCGGCCCCAGCGACUACAGCCCCCCGCAGGUCCGGCGCCAAGGGGUGACCUUCGGGGUGAAGCACUCGGAAUUCCGGGCCCCCGUGAUGAUGGACGCCAUGGAUUAGGGGACGUGUGGGUGGCAGAGCCCACCUGCGACAGACGGACAAACACGACCCUGCAGCAGCAGCA